Molecule: non-coding RNA, 999 nt
Organism: Kogia breviceps (pygmy sperm whale)
Lineage: Eukaryota; Metazoa; Chordata; Mammalia; Artiodactyla; Physeteridae
Source: RefSeq, a predicted model, not a curated record
GGGACAUCAUCACCGGUGAAACAGCGUUAGACUUGACACUUUAUCAAACCAGUCCGCUUGGUGAUUGUUGGGAGAGAGUGAGGAGGCAUCACCAUGUCCACAUCUGACUCAGCUGUCUGGGUUGGGAGAGGGUCCCCUGCUGCCCAGUGCGGAUGCAUCUGUGAGGGUGAUGGACCCAAGGAGGAUUCUGCAAUGAGCCUGGCAAUCAGGAGGCCCCCUCAGCUUCAGGACACCUAAAUCCCUGAAGAUUCCAGUACCCACUGUGUCUCCUGUGCCACCCGCACUCCCAGUGGGAGACACUUUGAAAUCAUUAUAGGACCUUGUAUUUGGAUGCUUGCCUCUUCAAGCUAUAAGGACCUUACAGUGAAGAUGGGAAACAUAUUUUUAUAUUCGGAUUGCCUAAGUGCAGUGGUCCUUCCAGUUCAAGACAUCAUUUGGCAUAGGGAUUUUAAUGCGAGCCUUAUCACUAACGACGUUGCCCUUCUUCAGCUGGCCGACUCUGUGAAUUAUUCUUCGUACAUCCAGCCAGUGUGCCUCCCUGAAAAGAAGUUUGAAGUGAAAGCUGGGACACAGUGUUGGGCGACUGGAUGGGGCCAAACUUUAGAAUUCGCCACAUCACUGCCACAUGUUCUUCAGGAGACUGAGCAAAUCAUUCUUCACCACAAGAAAUGUAAUCAGAAGAUACAGACACAGUUAGGAGUCCAUCGCCAAGUAGUUGGAAGAAGGAUGAUCUGUGGCUAUCACGAAAAGAUUAAAAGUCCCUGCAAGAAACCUGGGCCUGGUGGGUACCUAGGAAAGGACCUAGGUGCCUAUCUCCCUAGUGCCUUGCUAGCAAUCAGCCUGCUCUGAUGAUGAUCCCCUUCCAUUCCUGCAUUUGUUCCUUCUUUUUCUCCAGGGAGAUUCUGGAGGUCCCCUGGUCUGUCACUUUACUGACUCAUGGGUCCAGGCGGGGAUUGUGAGCUGGGGUGUUCACUGUGGUCACACAGAACUGCCUGCAGU